Molecule: ribosomal RNA, 567 nt
Filed under: uncultured bacterium
Lineage: Bacteria
Description: bacterial SSU rRNA
Rfam family: Bacterial small subunit ribosomal RNA
Source: RNAcentral
CCUACGGGAGGCAGCAGUGGGGAAUAUUGCACAAUGGGCGAAAGCCUGAUGCAGCGACGCCGCGUGAGGGAUGACGGCCUUCGGGUUGUAAACCUCUUUCAGCAGGGAAGAAGCGAAAGUGACGGUACCUGCAGAAGAAGCGCCGGCUAACUACGUGCCAGCAGCCGCGGUAAUACGUAGGGCGCAAGCGUUGUCCGGAAUUAUUGGGCGUAAAGAGCUCGUAGGCGGCUUGUCACGUCGGUUGUGAAAGCCCGGGGCUUAACCCCGGGUCUGCAGUCGAUACGGGCAGGCUAGAGUGUGGUAGGGGAGAUCGGAAUUCCUGGUGUAGCGGUGAAAUGCGCAGAUAUCAGGAGGAACACCGGUGGCGAAGGCGGAUCUCUGGGCCAUUACUGACGCUGAGGAGCGAAAGCGUGGGGAGCGAACAGGAUUAGAUACCCUGGUAGUCCACGCCGUAAACGGUGGGAACUAGGUGUUGGCGACAUUCCACGUCGUCGGUGCCGCAGCUAACGCAUUAAGUUCCCCGCCUGGGGAGUACGGCCGCAAGGCUAAACUUAAAUGAAUUGACGG